AGAAUCAACGCUGGCGGCGUGCCUAACACAUGCAAGUCGAACGAGAAAGUCUCCGCAAGGGGAUGAGUAAAGUGGCGACCGGGUGAGUAACACGUAGCUAACCUACCCUCGAGUGGGGGAUAACCUGGGGAAACCUGGGCUAAUACCGCAUAAGAUCCUGAUGGCUAAGUCGUUGGGAGAAAAGGCGCAAGUCGCCGGAGGAGGGGGUCGCGGCUGAUUAGCUAGUUGGCGGGGUAACGGCCCACCAAGGCUUUGAUCAGUAGCCGGCCUGAGAGGGCGCACGGCCACACUGGAACUGAAACACGGUCCAGACUCCUACGGGAGGCAGCAGUGGGGAAUUUUGCGCAAUGGGGGAAACCCUGACGCAGCAACGCCGCGUGGAGGAUGAAGUCCCUUGGGACGUAAACUCCUUUCGACCGGGACGAAUAAUGACGGUACCGGUGGAAGAAGCCCCGGCUAACUUCGUGCCAGCAGCCGCGGUAAUACGAGGGGGGCGAGCGUUGUUCGGAAUUAUUGGGCGUAAAGGGCGCGUAGGCGGCGCGGUAAGUCUUCUGUGAAAUUCCCGGGCUCAACUCGGGGCCUGCAGAGGAAACUGCCGGGCUCGAGUGUGGGAGAGGCGAGUGGAAUUCCCGGUGUAGCGGUGAAAUGCGUAGAUAUCGGGAGGAACACCAGUGGCGAAGGCGGCUCGCUGGACCACAACUGACGCUGAGGCGCGAAAGCUAGGGUAGCAAACAGGAUUAGAUACCCUGGUAGUCCUAGCCUUAAACGAUGAAUGCUUGGUGUGAUCGGUAUCCAAUCCGAUUGUGCCGCAGCUAACGCGAUAAGCAUUCCGCCUGGGGAGUACGGUCGCAAGGCUGAA
Molecule: ribosomal RNA, 859 nt
Filed under: uncultured bacterium
Lineage: Bacteria
Description: bacterial SSU rRNA
Rfam family: Bacterial small subunit ribosomal RNA
Source: RNAcentral